RNAcentral lists this ribosomal RNA (1461 nucleotides) under uncultured organism. RNAcentral's name for it is "16S ribosomal RNA". It matches the Rfam family "Bacterial small subunit ribosomal RNA". The record is from RNAcentral.
UGGCGGCAGGCCUAACACAUGCAAGUCGAACGGUAACAGGAAGCAGCUUGCUGCUUUGCUGACGAGUGGCGGACGGGUGAGUAAUGUCUGGGAAACUGCCCGAUGGAGGGGGAUAACUACUGGAAACGGUAGCUAAUACCGCAUAACGUCGCAAGACCAAAGAGGGGGACCUUCGGGCCUCUUGCCAUCGGAUGUGCCCAGAUGGGAUUAGCUAGUAGGUGGGGUAAAGGCUCACCUAGGCGACGAUCCCUAGCUGGUCUGAGAGGAUGACCAGCCACACUGGAACUGAGACACGGUCCAGACUCCUACGGGAGGCAGCAGUGGGGAAUAUUGCACAAUGGGCGCAAGCCUGAUGCAGCCAUGCCGCGUGUAUGAAGAAGGCCUUCGGGUUGUAAAGUACUUUCAGCGGGGAGGAAGGGAGUAAAGUUAAUACCUUUGCUCAUUGACGUUACCCGCAGAAGAAGCACCGGCUAACUCCGUGCCAGCAGCCGCGGUAAUUCGGAGGGGUGCAAGCGUUAAUUGGAAUUACUGGGCGUAAAGCGCACGCAGGCGGUUUGUUAAGUCAGAUGGAAAAUCCCCGGGGCUCAACCUGGGAACUGCAUCUGAUACUGGCAAGCUUGAGUCUCGUAGAGGAGGGGUAGAUUUCCAGGUGUAGCGGUGAAAUGCGUAGAGAUCUGGAAGAAUACCGGUGGCGAAGGCGGCCCCCUGGACGAAGACUGACGCUCAGGUGCGAAAGCGUGGGGAGCAAACAGGAUUAGAUACCCUGGUAGUCCACGCCGUAAACGAUGUCGACUUGGAGGUUGUGCCCUUGAGGCGUGGCUUCCGGAGCUAACGCGUUAAGUCGACCGCCUGGGGAGUACGGCCGCAAGGUUAAAACUCAAAUGAAUUGACGGGGGCCCGCACAAGCGGUGGAGCAUGUGGUUUAAUUCGAUGCAACGCGAAGAACCUUACCUGGUCUUGACAUCCACGGAAGUUUUCAGAGAUGAGAAUGUGCCUUCGGGAACCGUGAGACAGGUGCUGCAUGGCUGUCGUCAGCUCGUGUUGUGAAAUGUUGGAUUAAGUCCCGCAACGAGCGCAACCCUUAUCCUUUGUUGCCAGCGGUCCGGCCGGGAACUCAAAGGAGACUGCCAGUGAUAAACUGGAGGAAGGUGGGGAUGACGUCAAGUCAUCAUGGCCCUUACGACCAGGGCUACACACGUGCUACAAUGGCGCAUACAAAGAGAAGCGACCUCGCGAGAGCAAGCGGACCUCAUAAAGUGCGUCGUAGUCCGGAUUGGAGUCUGCAACUCGACUCCAUGAAGUCGGAAUCGCUAGUAAUCGUGGAUCAGAAUGCCACGGUGAAUACGUUCCCGGGCCUUGUACACACCGCCCGUCACACCAUGGGAGUGGGUUGCAAAAGAAGUAGGUAGCUUAACCUUCGGGAGGGCGCUUACCACUUUGUGAUUCAUGACUGGGGUGAAG